UGCCUUGUCUCAAAGCUUAUGCCAUGCAAGNCUCAGUACAAACUGUAUUAAAGUGAAACCGCAAAAGGCUCAGUAAACCAGUCAUGAUUCACUUGAGUAAACAUGACUGUCUUUGGAUAACUGUGGUAAUCCUAGAGCUAAUACAUGCAAUCAAGUCCCGACCAAUCUGAUUGGGAAGGACGCUUUUAUUAGAUCAAGACCAAUCGCCCGGCUUCGGUCGGGCGUUUCCUUGGCGACUCUAGGUAACACAUCAGAUCGCAUGGUCUCGCACCGGCGACUUAUCUUUCAAAUGCCUGACUUAUCAACUGUCGAUGGUAGACUCUAUGUCUACCAUGGUUGUAACGGGUAACGGGGAAUCAGGGUUCGAUUCCGGAGAGGGAGCCUGAGAAACGGCUACCACAUCCAAGGAAGGCAGCAGGCACGCAAAUUACCCACUCCCGGCACGGGGAGGUAGUGACAAAAAAUAACGAUACGGGACUCAUAUGAGGCCCCGUAAUCGGAAUGAGUACACUUUAAAUCCUUUAACAAGGAUCCAUUGGAGGGCAAGUCUGGUGCCAGCAGCCGCGGUAAUUCCAGCUCCAAUAGCGUAUAUUAAAGUUGUUGCGGUUAAAAAGCUCGUAGUUGGUUCUGCGUGCUACGCUGUCGGUUCGCCGCCUGCCGGUGUAACUGGCAUGCCGUGGCAUGUCCUGUCGGUGGCGUUCGGGUGCCUCGUCUAGGUGAGACCUCCGAACCGAAAGGGACGGGUGGUUAUUCAACCGGAGGUUUCCCCGUUCGCCUACUAUAUCCUACCUAGGUGCUCUUCACCGAGUGUCGAGGUAGGCCGACACGUUUACUUUGAACAAAUUAGAGUGCUCAAAGCAGGCUAAAAUUUCUGCCUGAAUAGUGGUGCAUGGAAUAAUAAAACAGGACCUCGGUUCUAUUUUGUUGGUUCUUAGGAACACGAGGUAAUGAUCAAUACGGACAGGCGGGGGCAUUCGUAUUGCGACGUUAGACUUGGCAAAUGCUUUCGCGGUGAAAUUCUUGGAUCGUCGCAAGACGCACAAGAGCGAAAGCAUUUGCCAAGUAUGUCUUGAUUGAUCAAGAACGAAAGUUAGAGGUUCGAAGGCGAUCAGAUACCGCCCUAGUUCUAACCAUAAACGAUGCCAGCCAGCGAUCCGCCGAUGUUCCUCCGAUGACUCGGCGGGGAGCUUUUUCCCGGGAAACCAAAGCUUUUGGGUUCCGGGGGAAGUAUGGUUGCAAAGCUGAAACUUAAAGGAAUUGACGGAAGGGCACCACCAGGAGUGGAGCCUGCGGCUUAAUUUGACUCAACACGGGAAACCUCACCAGGCCAGGACAUUGGAAGGAUUGACAGAUUGAUAGCUCUUUCUUGAUUCAGUGGGUAGUGGUGCAUGGCCGUUCUUAGUUGGUGG
RNAcentral lists this ribosomal RNA (1409 nucleotides) under Pseudopsallus viridicans. Its description in RNAcentral is "SSU rRNA". It matches the Rfam family "Eukaryotic small subunit ribosomal RNA", at positions 29 to 1304 of the family's 1831-position model. Lineage: Eukaryota; Metazoa; Arthropoda; Insecta; Hemiptera; Miridae. The record is from RNAcentral.